AAGUAACUAACAAGGAUUCCCCUAGUAACUGCGAGUGAAGCGGGAAAAGCUCAAAUUUAAAAUCUGGCAGUCUUUGGCUGUCCGAAUUGUAUUCUGGAGAAGCGUUUUCCGCGCUGGACCGUGUACAAGUCUCUUGGAAUAGAGCGUCAUAGAGGGUGAGAAUCCCGUCUUUGACACGGACUACCAGUGCUUUGUGAUGCGCUCUCAAAGAGUCGAGUUGUUUGGGAAUGCAGCUCAAAAUGGGUGGUGAAUUCCAUCUAAAGCUAAAUAUUGGCGAGAGACCGAUAGCGAACAAGUACCGUGAGGGAAAGAUGAAAAGCACUUUGGAAAGAGAGUUAAACAGUACGUGAAAUUGCUGAAAGGGAAACGCUUGAAGUCAGUCGCGUCAUUCAGAACUCAGCCCGGCUUUUGCUUGGUGUAUUUUCUGGUUGACGGGCCAGCAUCAAUUUUGACCGCUGGAAAAAGGCCAUAGGAAUGUGGCACCCUCGGGUGUGUUAUAGCCUAUGGUCAUAUACAGCGGUUGGGAUUGAGGACCGCAGCACGCCUUUAUGGUUGGGGUUCGCCCACAUUCGUGCUUAGGAUGCUGGCGUAAUGGCUUUAAACGACCCGUCUUGAAACACGGACCAAGGAGUCUAACAUGCCUGCGAGUGUUUGGGUGGAAAACCCGAGCGCACAAUGAAAGUGAAAGUUGGGAUCCCUGUCGUGGGGAGCACCGACGCCCGGACCAGACCUUUUGUGACGGAUCCGCGGUAGAGCAUGUAUGUUGGGACCCGAAAGAUGGUGAACUAUGCCUGAAUAGGGUGAAGCCAGAGGAAACUCUGGUGGAGGCUCGUAGCGAUUCUGACGUGCAAAUC
Molecule: ribosomal RNA, 854 nt
Filed under: Panus conchatus
Lineage: Eukaryota; Fungi; Basidiomycota; Agaricomycetes; Polyporales; Panaceae
Description: partial large subunit ribosomal RNA
Rfam family: Eukaryotic large subunit ribosomal RNA
Source: RNAcentral